Molecule: non-coding RNA, 148 nt
Filed under: Comamonas kerstersii
Lineage: Bacteria; Pseudomonadati; Pseudomonadota; Betaproteobacteria; Burkholderiales; Comamonadaceae
Source: RNAcentral
CUUGUGUGCGACCACAAGUAGCCUACGGUGACGUGCAGGACCAGUAAUGGGUCUGUGCGAAGCUCACCUGACAAUGCUCCCUACGUUUGUAGCGAAGGCAAUCCGUGAGGAUGUCUUUGGAAAUUGCCAGCAGAAGGGCGGUGAAGGG